RNAcentral lists this ribosomal RNA (446 nucleotides) under uncultured bacterium. RNAcentral's name for it is "partial 16S ribosomal RNA". It matches the Rfam family "Bacterial small subunit ribosomal RNA", at positions 338 to 795 of the family's 1533-position model. The record is from RNAcentral.
CCUACGGGUGGCAGCAGUCGAGAAUCAUUCACAAUGGGGGAAACCCUGAUGGUGCGACGCCGCGUGGGGGAAUGAAGGUCUUCGGAUUGUAAACCCCUGUCACGUGGGAGCAAAUUAAAAAGAUAGUACCACAUGAGGAAGAGCCGGCUAACUCGGUGCCAGCAGCCGCGGUAAUACAGAGGUCUCAAGCGUUGUUCGGAAUCACUGGGGGUAAAGCGUUCGUAGGCUGUUUCGUAAGUCGUGUGUGAAAGGCGCGGGCUCAACCCGCGGACGGCACAUGAUACUGGGAGACUAGAGUAAUGGAGGGGGAGGCGGAAUUCUCGGUGUAGCAGUGAAAUGCGUAGAUAUCGAGAGGAACACUCGUGGCGAAGGCGGGUUCCUGGACAUUAACUGACGCUGAGGCACGAAGGCCAGGGGAGCGAAAAGGAUUAGAUACCCGAGUAGUC